GACGAACGCUGGCGGCGUGCUUAACACAUGCAAGUCGAACGGAAAGGCCCUGCUUUUGUGGGGUGCUCGAGUGGCGAACGGGUGAGUAACACGUGAGUAACCUGCCCUUGACUUUGGGAUAACUUCAGGAAACUGGGGCUAAUACCGGAUAGGAGCUCCUGCUGCAUGGUGGGGGUUGGAAAGUUUCGGCGGUUGGGGAUGGACUCGCGGCUUAUCAGCUUGUUGGUGGGUAGUGGCUUACCAAGGCUUUGACGGGUAGCCGGCCUGAGAGGGUGACCGGCCACAUUGGGACUGAGAUACGGCCCAGACUCCUACGGGAGGCAGCAGUGGGGAAUAUUGCACAAUGGGCGGAAGCCUGAUGCAGCAACGCCGCGUGCGGGAUGACGGCCUUCGGGUUGUAAACCGCUUUCGCUUGUGACGAAGCGUGAGUGACGGUAAUGGGUAAAGAAGCACCGGCUAACUACGUG
Molecule: ribosomal RNA, 467 nt
Filed under: uncultured bacterium
Lineage: Bacteria
Description: partial 16S ribosomal RNA
Rfam family: Bacterial small subunit ribosomal RNA
Source: RNAcentral